GAGGAAUAUUGGACAAUGGGCGAUAGCCUGAUCCAGCCAUGCCGCGUGCAGGAAGACUGCCCUAUGGGUUGUAAACUGCUUUUUUACGGGAAGAAACACCCCCACGUAUGGGGGCUUGACGGUACCGUACGAAUAAGGAUCGGCUAACUCCGUGCCAGCAGCCGCGGUAAUACGGAGGAUCCGAGCGUUAUCCGGAAUUAUUGGGUUUAAAGGGUCCGUAGGCGGACGGGUAAGUCAGUGGUGAAAGUCUGCAGCUCAACUGUAGAAUUGCCAUUGAUACUGGUUGUCUUGAAUCAAUGUGAAGUGGCUAGAAUAUGUGGUGUAGCGGUGAAAUGCUUAGAUAUCACAUAGAAUACCGAUUGCGAAGGCAGGUCACUAACAUUGCAUUGACGCUGAUGGACGAAAGCGUGGGGAGCGAAC
Molecule: ribosomal RNA, 420 nt
Filed under: uncultured bacterium
Lineage: Bacteria
Description: bacterial SSU rRNA
Rfam family: Bacterial small subunit ribosomal RNA
Source: RNAcentral